Molecule: unclassified non-coding RNA, 339 nt
Filed under: soil metagenome
Description: partial contains 5.8S ribosomal RNA, internal transcribed spacer 2, and large subunit ribosomal RNA
Rfam family: 5.8S ribosomal RNA (bases 1-120)
Source: RNAcentral
GAUGAAGAACGUAGCGAAAUGCGAUAACUAAUGUGAAUUGCAGAAUUCAGUGAAUCAUCGAGUCUUUGAACGCACAUUGCGCCCCCUGGUAUUCCGGGGGUCAUGCCUGUCCGAGCGUCAUUGCUGCCCUCAAGCACGGCUUGUGUGUUGGGCUCCGUCCCCCCGGGGACGGGCCCGAAAGGCAGCGGCGGCACCGAGUCCGGUCCUCGAGCGUAUGGGGCUUUGUCACCCGCUCUGUAGGCCCGGCCGGCGCCAGCCGACAACCCAUCAUCCUUUUCAGGUUGACCUCGGAUCAGGUAGGGAUACCCGCUGAACUUAAGCAUAUCAAUAAGCGGAGGA